This 73-nucleotide transfer RNA is filed under the name Fasciola gigantica. It matches the Rfam family "tRNA". Rfam says of the family: Transfer RNA (tRNA) molecules are approximately 80 nucleotides in length. Their secondary structure includes four short double-helical elements and three loops (D, anti-codon, and T loops). The record is from Rfam by way of RNAcentral. Lineage: Eukaryota; Metazoa; Platyhelminthes; Trematoda; Plagiorchiida; Fasciolidae.
ACCGCCACAGCUCGGUUGGUAGAGCAUCUGCCCGUUAUGCGGAGGGUCGCCGGUUCGAUUCCGGCUUGCGGCG